This 1491-nucleotide ribosomal RNA is filed under the name metagenome. Its description in RNAcentral is "bacterial SSU rRNA". It matches the Rfam family "Bacterial small subunit ribosomal RNA". The record is from RNAcentral.
AGAGUUUGAUCAUGGCUCAGAUUGAACGCUGGCGGCAUGCCUUACACAUGCAAGUCGAACGGUAACGCGGGGGCAACCCUGGCGACGAGUGGCGAACGGGUGAGUAAUACAUCGGAACAUAUCCAGUAGCGGGGGAUAACCUAUCGAAAGAUGGACUAAUACCGCAUACGAUCUACGGAUGAAAGCAGGGGACCGCAAGGCCUUGCACUAUUGGAGUGGCCGAUGUCGGAUUAGCUAGUUGGUGGGGUAAAAGCUUACCAAGGCGACGAUCCGUAGCUGGUCUGAGAGGACGAUCAGCCACACUGGAACUGAGACACGGUCCAGACUCCUACGGGAGGCAGCAGUGGGGAAUUUUGGACAAUGGGCGCAAGCCUGAUCCAGCCAUGCCGCGUGAGUGAAGAAGGCCUUCGGGUUGUAAAGCUCUUUCGGUGAAGACGAAACGGUUCAUGCUAAUAACGUGAACUAAUGACGGUACUCACAGAAGAAGCACCGGCUAACUACGUGCCAGCAGCCGCGGUAAUACGUAGGGUGCAGGCGUUAAUCGGAAUUACUGGGCGUAAAGCGUGCGCAGGCGGUUUGCUAAGACAGGUGUGAAAUCCCCGGGCUUAACCUGGGAAUUGCGCUUGUAACUGGCAAGCUAGAGUGUGGCAGAGGGGGGUGGAAUUCCACGUGUAGCAGUGAAAUGCGUAGAUAUGUGGAGGAACACCGAUGGCGAAGGCAGCCCCCUGGGUUAACGCUGACGCUCAUGCACUAAAGCGUGGGGAGCAAACAGGAUUAGAUACCCUGGUAGUCCACGCCCUAAACUAUGUCAACUAGUUGUCGGGGAAGAAAUUCCUUGGUAACGAAGCUAACGCGUGAAGUUGACCGCCUGGGGAGUACGGCCGCAAGGUUAAAACUCAAAGGAUUGACGGGGACCCGCACAAGCGGUGGAUUAUGUGGAUUAAUUCGAUGCAACGCGAAAAACCUUACCUACCCUUGACAUGCUAGGAAGCCCGCAGAGAUGUGGUGUGCCCGAAAGGGAACCUAGACACAGGUGCUGCAUGGCUGUCGUCAGCUCGUGUCGUGAGAUGUUGGGUUAAGUCCCGCAACGAGCGCAACCCUUGCCAUUAGUUGCUACAUUCAGUUGGGCACUCUAAUGGGACCGCCGGUGACAAACCGGAGGAAGGUGGGGAUGACGUCAAGUCCUCAUGGCCCUUAUGGGUAGGGCUUCACACGUAAUACAAUGGUCGGUACAGAGGGCUGCCAACCCGCAAGGGGGAGCUAAUCCCAGAAAGCCGAUCGUAGUCCGGAUUGUAGUCUGCAACUCGACUGCAUGAAGCCGGAAUCGCUAGUAAUCGCGGAUCAGCAUGUCGCGGUGAAUACGUUCCCGGGUCUUGUACACACCGCCCGUCACACCAUGGGAGUGGGUUCCACCAGAAGUAGUUAGCCUAACCGCAAGGAGGGCGAUUACCACGGUGAGAUUCAUGACUGGGGUGAAGUCGUAACAAGGUA